Molecule: ribosomal RNA, 492 nt
Filed under: uncultured bacterium
Lineage: Bacteria
Description: partial 16S ribosomal RNA
Rfam family: Bacterial small subunit ribosomal RNA
Source: RNAcentral
AGUGAACGCUGGCGGUAGGCCUAACACAUGCAAGUCGAACGGCAGCACAGUAAGAGCUUGCUCUUACGGGUGGCGAGUGGCGGACGGGUGAGGAAUACAUCGGAAUCUACUUUUUCGUGGGGGAUAACGUAGGGAAGCUUACGCAAAUACCGCAUACGACCUACGGGUGAAAGCAGGGGAUCUUCGGACCUUGCGCGAUUGAAUGAGCCGAUGUCGGAUUAGCUAGUUGGCGGGGUAAAGGCCCACCAAGGCGACGAUCCGUAGCUGGUCUGAGAGGAUGAUCAGCCACACUGGAAGUGAGACACGGCCCAGACUCCUACGGGAGGCAGCAGUGGGGAAUAUUGGACAAUGGGCGCAAGCCUGAUCCAGCCAUACCGCGUGGGUGAAGAAGGCCUUCGGGUUGUAAAGCCCUUUUGUUGGGAAAGAAAAGCAGCAGGUUAAUACCCCGCUGUUCUGACGGUACCCAAAGAAUAAGCACCGGCUAACUUCGUG